This 75-nucleotide transfer RNA is filed under the name Candidatus Nitrosarchaeum limnium SFB1. RNAcentral describes it as "tRNA-Arg". The record is from RNAcentral. Lineage: Archaea; Thermoproteati; Nitrososphaerota; Nitrososphaeria; Nitrosopumilales; Nitrosopumilaceae.
UUACCAAUUCCUACAAAUUUUUGAUCAAAGAUUAUUUGAUCAUAGAUUUCGUCACAGAUAAUGUAUAGAUUAUGU